RNAcentral lists this long non-coding RNA (690 nucleotides) under Bos mutus (wild yak). Its description in RNAcentral is "lncRNA (ENSBMUG00000025926.1)". Lineage: Eukaryota; Metazoa; Chordata; Mammalia; Artiodactyla; Bovidae. The record is from RNAcentral.
AAGGCUGCAGUGGUUCCAGAAAUCAUGACCUCAUACCAGCAUGUCCAAAAGCAGAAAGAGAAGAAUGAGGAAACCAGAAUCUGACCAGCUCUCUUAGAGGUGACUUGCAGAAGGAGGAGAGAGAGCAAGACUCUGAAAAUUGCAGUGACCUCUGGCCAGGUUCAUUACUGUGGACAGGGCAGGCCUUUAUUGCCCGUGCGAGGGCAGACUUGUCUUAAUGCACUGCUCCUGGUGUGCCCCCGAAGGAAGGCUUCUACAGGAAUCCAGGGAACUAAGGAAGAGGCUGGCCCAGAGUUCCAAACCAGGAGAACUACACCUGUAUUUCUGAUAGCGACUGGACAAAGAGGACUGGGACCCUCAACUUCUCCAGAAGACGAGACACCCCCCUCCCCUGCUCCUAGGGUGGACAGGCCUGACGCUCCUCCAGUGGCCUCCCAUGAGCCAUGACCAGGCUGGAAAAAACUGGGAUGGGACCCAUGGGCAUUUAAAGAUGGGAAUUGGGAUACUGGGCUGAGGCUGGGGCAGGGAGGUGAGACAGAAGAACUGAGGGUGCAGACAGAAGAAACCAGGUGUGGAGGGGUCAGGGGUCGAGUGACGCCGGCAAGCGCAUGGCUGUGCUGCAGGACCGUCCAGGAAAAGGGUGGCCAUGGAGGACUCACAAUAAAUACAGCCGGAGUCUCGGAGGCUGCA